GUUCAGAUUGCAGGCUGCAACUCGCCUGCAUGAAGUCGGAAUUGCUAGUAAUCGCAGAUCAGCAUGCUGCGGUGAAUACGUUCCCGGGCCUUGUACACACCGCCCGUCACACCAUGAGAGUCGGGAACACCCGAAGUCCGUAGCCUAACCGCAAGGGGGGCGCGGCCGAAGGUGGGUUCGGAUAAUUGGGGUGAAGUCGUAACAAGGUAAC
Molecule: ribosomal RNA, 211 nt
Filed under: uncultured bacterium
Lineage: Bacteria
Description: partial 16S ribosomal RNA
Rfam family: Bacterial small subunit ribosomal RNA
Source: RNAcentral